RNAcentral lists this ribosomal RNA (500 nucleotides) under uncultured bacterium. Its description in RNAcentral is "partial 16S ribosomal RNA". It matches the Rfam family "Bacterial small subunit ribosomal RNA", at positions 29 to 523 of the family's 1533-position model. The record is from RNAcentral.
AUUGAACGCUGGCGGCAUGCCUUACACAUGCAAGUCGAACGGCAGCACGGGAGCAAUCCUGGUGGCGAGUGGCGAACGGGUGAGUAAUGUAUCGGAACGUGCCCAGUCGUGGGGGAUAACGUAGCGAAAGCUACGCUAAUACCGCAUACGAUCUAUGGAUGAAAGCGGGGGAUCGCAAGACCUCGCGCGAUUGGAGCGGCCGAUAUCAGAUUAGGUAGUUGGUGGGGUAAAGGCUCACCAAGCCGACGAUCUGUAGCUGGUCUGAGAGGAGGGCCAGCCACACUGGGACUGAGACACGGGCCAGACUCCUACGGGAAGCAGCAGUGGGGAAUUUUGGGCAAUGGGCGCAAGCCUGAUCCAGCAAUGCCGCGUGCAGGAUGAAGGCCUUCGGGUUGUAAACUGCUUUUGUACGGAACGAAACGGCGAGCUCUAAUACAGUGUGCUAAUGACGGUACCGUAAGAAUAAGCACCGGCUAACUACGUGCCAGCAGCCGCCGCGG